UGGGGAAUCUUGGACAAUGGGGGCAACCCUGAUCCAGCCAUGCCGCGUGAGUGAUGAAGGCCUUAGGGUCGUAAAGCUCUUUCGCCUGUGAAGAUAAUGACGGUAGCAGGUAAAGAAACCCCGGCUAACUCCGUGCCAGCAGCCGCGGUAAUACGGAGGGGGUUAGCGUUGUUCGGAAUUACUGGGCGUAAAGCGCACGUAGGCGGACCAGAAAGUUGGGGGGUGAAAUCCCGGGGGGCUCAACCCCCGGAACUGCCUCCAAAACUAUUGGUCUAGAGUUCGAGAGAGGUGAGUGGAAUUCCAAGUGUAGAGGUGAAAUUCGUAGAUAUUUGGAGGAACACCAGUGGCGAAGGCGGCUCACUGGCUCGAUACUGACGCUGAGGUGCGAAAGUGUGGGGAGCAAACAGGAUUAGAUACCCCUGGUAGUCCACACCGUAAAACGAUGAAUGCCAGUCGUCGGGGUAGCAUGCUAUUCGGUGACACACCUAACGGAUUAAGCAUUCCGGCCUGGGGAGUACGGUCGCAAGAUU
RNAcentral lists this ribosomal RNA (530 nucleotides) under uncultured bacterium. Its description in RNAcentral is "bacterial SSU rRNA". It matches the Rfam family "Bacterial small subunit ribosomal RNA", at positions 355 to 895 of the family's 1533-position model. The record is from RNAcentral.